RNAcentral lists this ribosomal RNA (327 nucleotides) under uncultured eukaryote. RNAcentral describes it as "partial 18S ribosomal RNA". It matches the Rfam family "Eukaryotic small subunit ribosomal RNA", at positions 1470 to 1796 of the family's 1831-position model. The record is from RNAcentral.
CCCUUAGAUGUUCGGGGCUGCACACGCGCUACACUGGAGGAAACAGCGUGUAUUGUCCUGGUCCGAAAGGACUGGGUAAACCUGUGAAACUUCUCCGUGCUUGGGAUAGCGGAUUGAAAUUGUUUCGCUUCAACGAGGAAUUCCUAGUAAGCGUAAGUCAUAAGCUUGCGCUGAUUACGUCCCUGCCCUUUGUACACACCGCCCGUCGCUACUACUGAUUGGAUGUUUAAGCGAGGUUCUCGAACUGCUAGUGACUGAUCUUCGGUGAGGUCGCAGUGUGGGAAGUGAACCUAGCUUUGGUGUCUAGAGGAAGUAAAAGUCGUAACA